CCCCCCCUCUCUCUCUCUCUGCCUCUCUUUGCCUCUCCCUCUCUUUUGCCCCUCUCUUGUUCUUGUUCUAUCUCUUUUCAUAUGUAUAUAUGUGUGUCUCCUCCUUCCCCCUCUGCAAUGUAUUGUACAUACACCAUUACAUCUCAUAAGCUACCCCUCGCUCCCUCCCCAAUGACACAGUAGCAGCAACAAUAACAGAACAUAUCCUAGUCGUUCCAGCAUGGUACAUAGUAACACAGAAUAAUGACCCAAACCAAGGGGAUAUUAAUGGGGGUGUUAGGCCUGCACAAUUCAUUCAGAGUUGUAAAUAUGACAAAAAAGGAACGAUUUUGAAAUAAGGUAGAUGUCUGAAUGCAUUUGUUUGUUUGUCUUUUGGUUUGACUCGCGCUUUUUCUAAAACUCAUUUUGGUUCUAUUCCAGAGUGUAGAAAGCACCUUGUGCAUGUUAUUGUAUUACAGGGUACCACAAGAGUCCUAAAAUAGACUAACAAAAUCACCUAUGAUAACAAAUUAUAUUUAAUUCGUUUUUACUUUCUUAUUUAUUGAUUUGGAUUUUAACUACUAUCGGUAGAAUAAUUGGUGCAAAAUGUAUGUAAAUGAAACAAUACUAUAACGUAUGCUCAUGGUAGUGAAAAGGCUUAAGCUUUUUGUUUCAGUUGAUGGCAUGUAGUAACGUCAAGGGAAAAUUCAUAAAAGAAAGUGGUCCAGAAAUAAUAAUUUAGGUAUAGGAUAUGACCCAUGCUCUUUGACUGUACUCAUUCUGGAUUAGCUGUAUUUGAACAUGAAAAUGUCAUAAAUUAACAGGGAAUGGGCGAUAUAUUCAUAAACUAAUUUAUGUGGAGAUGUUAUGUUCAAAUAGAAGUGUCUGGGUACAUGCCAUGGUAUUUAUUAUGUAUAAUGAGUUUAACAUUAAUUUGGUAUUAACAAUACCUGAGUUACUAUGUAGGCUGACUAUGGCAGCAAAUUGUUUUUUAAAAUUUAACUAAAAAUGUGUUGUUUUUAAAAGAGCCUGAAAACAAUGAUUUACUUUGAUUUGAUCAUAUCACGUUUCUGCUGCUAAUUUUGCUGUGUUUCUACUUUUUGCUAUAAUAUAUUGUUCAGCUGUAAUGAGUCGUCUUACUAAUUUCAUGUUUGAGUUUAGAGAACGAGGAAGUCAGGAGGUUGCAUCCCAAAUCAAGUUCAAGUUUAAGUUUUAGUACAGUGAAAUACUUAACUUGUGUGCUGUACCCAACAGUGCAGUAAUCAAAAUAUAUGAAAACACUAAGAAAUAAGAGAGGAAGCUAUAUACAGGGUCAGUGCUAAUACCAAAUGUGCAAUGUGCAGGGAAUAUGAGAAAGUGACUGGUAGCUGGAUAAAGAAGAAUAAUAUAUCAAAAGUAGAGUCCUAAAUAGGGAAUAGUGUGCCGUUUGGGAUGGACUGAGUUAGUUAGGGGUCUAUGACCAGUUCAAAAUGAUGCUGGUCAUCAUGAGCAUCAUAAGGAAUAGAACUCCUUUGCCCCUGUACUACUGCCUUGUCAAUGCAAACCUACAGCCAUCUGCAAUAGAAUCUGACCUGCAUUCUCUCACGUGCUCUGGCUGUCUGCAUAACUCUCAUCUCUUUGAGUUUUAUUGAGUCAAUAAACAAAUGAUUGUGAAAUAAACUGUUACAAUACUGUUGUUGAUUUCUGUUUGGCUAAAAUAUUGUGGGCACAGAAAACCAUGGAAAGAGCCCACUGGCCCUUCUAUGGGCCCUACUCUCAAUGGUAGGCCUUAUCUCUGUUAACCCAGAAGUAAAAUCUUUCCUAAUAUGGUAAACUGGUUGCCUAAUUUGGUCAGUUGGUCUACAGGUAGAAUCAAUUAUGUAUAUAAACCCUGGAUUGUUGAUGCUCUGUGUCUUUGAAGCCACUGUUCAGCGAUAUUUGCACUCAGAAGGAGCAGUCCUCCAUAUGAAUGAAUGGAAUUCUACAAUAUUUCAAUUAAAUGUUUCAAGGACAAAAUUAUGUGUAUUUAAGUAUUCUUUGGUUGUAGUAGGGACA
Long non-coding RNA from Oncorhynchus tshawytscha (Chinook salmon), 2013 nucleotides. The record is from Ensembl. NCBI's taxonomy places the organism in Eukaryota, Metazoa, Chordata, Actinopteri, Salmoniformes, Salmonidae.